Molecule: ribosomal RNA, 465 nt
Filed under: uncultured bacterium
Lineage: Bacteria
Description: bacterial SSU rRNA
Rfam family: Bacterial small subunit ribosomal RNA
Source: RNAcentral
CCAGACUCCUACGGGAGGCAGCAGUGAGGAAUAUUGGUCAAUGGGCGCGAGCCUGAACCAGCCAAGUCGCGUGAGGGAGGACGGCCCUACGGGUUGUAAACCUCUUUUGCCGGGGAGCAACGGGCGUCACGUGUGGCGCCACUGAGAGUACCCGGAGAAAAAGCAUCGGCUAACUCCGUGCCAGCAGCCGCGGUAAUACGUAGGGGGCAAGCGUUAUCCGGAAUCACUGGGUGUAAAGGGAGCGUAGACGGCUGUGCAAGCCUGAAGUGAAAGGCGGGGGCCCAACCCCUGGACUGCUUUGGGAACUGUACGGCUGGAGUGCAGGAGAGGUAAGUGGAAUUCCUAGUGUAGCGGUGAAAUGCGUAGAUAUUAGGAGGAACACCAGUGGCGAAGGCGGCUUACUGGACUGUAACUGACGUUGAGGCUCGAAAGCGUGGGGAGCAAACAGGAUUAGAUACCCGGGUA